AAACCAACCGGGAUUGCCUUAGUAACGGCGAGUGAAGCGGCAAAAAGCUCAAAUUUGAAAUCUGGUACCUUCGGUGCCCGAGUUGUAAUUUGGAGAGGGCAACUUUGGGGCCGUUCCUUGUCUAUGUUCCUUGGAACAGGACGUCAUAGAGGGUGAGAAUCCCGUGUGGCGAGGAGUGCGGUUCUUUGUAAAGUGCCUUCGAAGAGUCGAGUUGUUUGGGAAUGCAGCUCUAAGUGGGUGGUAAAUUCCAUCUAAAGCUAAAUAUUGGCGAGAGACCGAUAGCGAACAAGUACAGUGAUGGAAAGAUGAAAAGAACUUUGAAAAGAGAGUGAAAAAGUACGUGAAAUUGUUGAAAGGGAAGGGCAUUUGAUCAGACAUGGUGUUUUGUGCCCUCUGCUCCUUGUGGGUAGGGGAAUCUCGCAUUUCACUGGGCCAGCAUCAGUUUGGUGGCAGGAUAAAUCCAUAGGAAUGUAGCUUGCCUCGGUAAGUAUUAUAGCCUGUGGGAAUACUGCC
RNAcentral lists this ribosomal RNA (513 nucleotides) under uncultured Saccharomyces. RNAcentral describes it as "eukaryotic LSU rRNA". It matches the Rfam family "Eukaryotic large subunit ribosomal RNA", at positions 62 to 578 of the family's 3401-position model. The record is from RNAcentral. Lineage: Eukaryota; Fungi; Ascomycota; Saccharomycetes; Saccharomycetales; Saccharomycetaceae.